AGGUGGGAGGAUCACUUGAGCUCAGGAGUUUGAGGUUGCAAUAAACUAUGAUCACACCAUUGCACUCCAGCCUGAGUGACAGAGCAAGAUCUU
Molecule: microRNA precursor, 93 nt
Filed under: Carlito syrichta (Philippine tarsier)
Lineage: Eukaryota; Metazoa; Chordata; Mammalia; Primates; Tarsiidae
Description: miRNA (ENSTSYG00000034657.1)
Source: RNAcentral